This 329-nucleotide small nuclear RNA is filed under the name Erinaceus europaeus (western European hedgehog). RNAcentral describes it as "7SK RNA". It matches the Rfam family "7SK RNA". Rfam says of the family: 7SK was discovered as an abundant small nuclear RNA in the mid-70s but a possible function has only recently been suggested. Two independent studies have found that 7SK RNA binds the CDK9/cyclin T complex (known as elongation factor P-TEFb). P-TEFb activates transcription by phosphorylating the C-terminal domain of RNA polymerase II. Lineage: Eukaryota; Metazoa; Chordata; Mammalia; Eulipotyphla; Erinaceidae. The record is from Rfam by way of RNAcentral.
UGAUGUGAGGGCAAUCUGGCUGUGACAUCUGUCACCCCAUUGAUCAUUGAUCAUUGAUCACCAGGGUUGAUUAGGCUGACCUGGCUGACUAGGCGGGUGUCCUCUUCCUCCCUCAUCUCUCCAUGUGCGUCCCUCCCGAAGCUGCAUGCUGGGUCAAAGAGGAUGGCCUUCCCUGAAUAGAGACUGACCAGUCUUUGGUAGAAUGUAUAGGAGUAGCUGCGCUCCCCUACUAGAACCUCCAAACAAGCUCUCAAGGAAAGUGGCAUAGGGAGUAGGUAAGGAGGAUAUCUAGGUCUAAGCAGAAAAUAUUUGAUUAAGUUUUUUUUUUU